AGCUAUAUGAAUUAAUAUAUAGUUAUUUCUGCUCCAUGAUUAUUAAAUAGCCGCAGUACCCUGACUGUGCAAAGGUAGCAUAAUCAGUUGGCUCUUAAUUAGGGUCUGGUAUGAAAGAAAAUAUGGGUAGUAACUGUCUUAAUAUAUUUAUUUGAAAUUAAUAAGCAAGUGCAAAUACUUGCAUACAUAAAAAAGACGAGAAGACCCUAGAAACUUGAAAUGGGUUUUGUUGGGGCGACAGAAUUACACUUAACUAAUUUUAUGGGACAUGACACGAAGUUGAAAGAAUAAGUUACUCUAGGGAUAACAGCAUAAUUUAAAUAGUUUGUGACCUCGAUGUUGGACUAGGUAUUAUACCUUUAAGGUAAAGUUAUAAAAUGCUCUGUUCGAGCAUAUACACCUACAU
This 406-nucleotide ribosomal RNA is filed under the name Helix albescens. RNAcentral's name for it is "partial 16S ribosomal RNA". It matches the Rfam family "Archaeal large subunit ribosomal RNA", at positions 1924 to 2670 of the family's 2987-position model. The record is from RNAcentral. Lineage: Eukaryota; Metazoa; Mollusca; Gastropoda; Stylommatophora; Helicidae.